RNAcentral lists this ribosomal RNA (2930 nucleotides) under Cronobacter sakazakii. RNAcentral describes it as "bacterial LSU rRNA". It matches the Rfam family "Bacterial large subunit ribosomal RNA". The record is from RNAcentral. Lineage: Bacteria; Pseudomonadati; Pseudomonadota; Gammaproteobacteria; Enterobacterales; Enterobacteriaceae.
GGGUUGUGAGGUUAAGCGAACAAGCGUACACGGUGGAUGCCCUGGCAGUCAGAGGCGAUGAAGGACGUGCUAAUCUGCGAAAAGCGCCGGUAAGGUGAUAUGAACCGUUAUAACCGGCGAUGUCCGAAUGGGGAAACCCGGUGCACUUCGGUGCAUCAUCGUUAGCUGAAUACAUAGGCUAACGAGGCGAACCGGGGGAACUGAAACAUCUAAGUACCCCGAGGAAAAGAAAUCAACCGAGAUUCCCCCAGUAGCGGCGAGCGAACGGGGAACAGCCCAGAGCCUGAAUCAGCUUGUGUGUCAGUGGAACGGUCUGGAAAGGCCGGCGAUACAGGGUGACAGCCCCGUACACGAAGGCACACAGGCUGUGAGCUCGAUGAGUAGGGCGGGACACGUGAUAUCCUGUCUGAAGAUGGGGGGACCAUCCUCCAAGGCUAAAUACUCCUGACUGACCGAUAGUGAACCAGUACCGUGAGGGAAAGGCGAAAAGAACCCCGGCGAGGGGAGUGAAACAGAACCUGAAACCGUGUACGUACAAGCAGUGGGAGCCUUCGUAAGAGGGUGACUGCGUACCUUUUGUAUAAUGGGUCAGCGACUUAUAUUCUGUAGCAAGGUUAACCGUAUAGGGGAGCCGAAGGGAAACCGAGUCUUAACCGGGCGUUAAGUUGCAGGGUAUAGACCCGAAACCCGGUGAUCUAGCCAUGGGCAGGUUGAAGGUUGGGUAACACUAACUGGAGGACCGAACCGACUAAUGUUGAAAAAUUAGCGGAUGACCUGUGGCUGGGGGUGAAAGGCCAAUCAAACCGGGAGAUAGCUGGUUCUCCCCGAAAGCUAUUUAGGUAGCGCCUCGUGAACUCAUCUCCGGGGGUAGAGCACUGUUUCGGCUAGGGGGCCAUCCCGGCUUACCAACCCGAUGCAAACUGCGAAUACCGGAGAAUGUUAUCACGGGAGACACACGGCGGGUGCUAACGUCCGUCGUGAAGAGGGAAACAACCCAGACCGCCAGCUAAGGUCCCAAAGUCAUGGUUAAGUGGGAAACGAUGUGGGAAGGCCCAGACAGCCAGGAUGUUGGCUUAGAAGCAGCCAUCAUUUAAAGAAAGCGUAAUAGCUCACUGGUCGAGUCGGCCUGCGCGGAAGAUGUAACGGGGCUAAAACCAUGCACCGAAGCUGCGGCAGCGACACUAUGUGUUGUUGGGUAGGGGAGCGUUCUGUAAGCCUGCGAAGGUGUGCUGUGAGGCAUGCUGGAGGUAUCAGAAGUGCGAAUGCUGACAUAAGUAACGAUAAAGCGGGUGAAAAGCCCGCUCGCCGGAAGACCAAGGGUUCCUGUCCAACGUUAAUCGGGGCAGGGUGAGUCGACCCCUAAGGCGAGGCCGAAAAGGCGUAGUCGAUGGGAAACAGGUUAAUAUUCCUGUACUUGGUGUUACUGCGAAGGGGGGACGGAGAAGGCUAUGUCGGCCGGGCGACGGUUGUCCUGGUUUAAGCGUGUAGGCUGACUUUCCAGGCAAAUCCGGAAAGUCAAGGCUGAGGCGUGAUGACGAGGCACCACGGUGCUGAAGUGACAAAUGCCCUGCUUCCAGGAAAAGCCUCUAAGCAUCAGGUAACAUUAAAAUCGUACCCCAAACCGACACAGGUGGUCAGGUAGAGAAUACCAAGGCGCUUGAGAGAACUCGGGUGAAGGAACUAGGCAAAAUGGUGCCGUAACUUCGGGAGAAGGCACGCUGACAUGUAGGUGAAGCCCCUGCGGGUGGAGCUGAAGUCAGUCGAAGAUACCAGCUGGCUGCAACUGUUUAUUAAAAACACAGCACUGUGCAAACACGAAAGUGGACGUAUACGGUGUGACGCCUGCCCGGUGCCGGAAGGUUAAUUGAUGGGGUUAUCGCAAGAGAAGCUCCUGAUCGAAGCCCCGGUAAACGGCGGCCGUAACUAUAACGGUCCUAAGGUAGCGAAAUUCCUUGUCGGGUAAGUUCCGACCUGCACGAAUGGCGUAAUGAUGGCCAGGCUGUCUCCACCCGAGACUCAGUGAAAUUGAACUCGCUGUGAAGAUGCAGUGUACCCGCGGCAAGACGGAAAGACCCCGUGAACCUUUACUACAGCUUGACACUGAACAUUGAGCCUUGAUGUGUAGGAUAGGUGGGAGGCUUUGAAGCGUGGACGCCAGUCUGCGUGGAGCCGACCUUGAAAUACCACCCUUUAAUGUUUGAUGUUCUAACCUGGCGCCGUGAUCCGGCGUGGGGACAGUGUCUGGUGGGUAGUUUGACUGGGGCGGUCUCCUCCCAAAGUGUAACGGAGGAGCACGAAGGUCAGCUAAUCCUGGUCGGACAUCAGGAGGUUAGUGCAAUGGCAUAAGCUGGCUUGACUGCGAGAGUGACGGCUCGAGCAGGUGCGAAAGCAGGUCAUAGUGAUCCGGUGGUUCUGUAUGGAAGGGCCAUCGCUCAACGGAUAAAAGGUACUCCGGGGAUAACAGGCUGAUACCGCCCAAGAGUUCAUAUCGACGGCGGUGUUUGGCACCUCGAUGUCGGCUCAUCACAUCCUGGGGCUGAAGUAGGUCCCAAGGGUAUGGCUGUUCGCCAUUUAAAGUGGUACGCGAGCUGGGUUUAGAACGUCGUGAGACAGUUCGGUCCCUAUCUGCCGUGGGCGCUGGAGAAUUGAGGGGGGCUGCUCCCAGUACGAGAGGACCGGAGUGGACGCAUCACUGGUGUUCGGGUUGUCAUGCCAAUGGCACUGCCCGGUAGCUAAAUGCGGAAGAGAUAAGUGCUGAAAGCAUCUAAGCACGAAACUUGCCCCGAGAUGAGUUCUCCCUGAGACUAUAAGUCUCCUGAAGGAACGUUGAAGACGACGACGUUGAUAGGCCGGGUGUGUAAGCGCAGCGAUGCGUUGAGCUAACCGGUACUAAUGAACCGUGAGGCUUAACCUUACAACGCCAAAGAAGU